GUCCACGCAGUAAACGAUGGAUGCUAGUUCUUUUGCGCAAGUGAGUGCUGAGGGACACAGCGAAAGCGUUAAGCAUCCCACCUGGGGAGUACGCCGGCAAACGGUGAAAACUCAAAAGGAAUUGACGGGGGGCCCGCACAAGCGGAGGAACAUGUGGUUUAAUUCGAUGAUACGCGAGGAACCUUACCCGGGCUCAAAACGACAGAGGAAUACUUUUGAAAGGAGGUAGCUCUACGGAGCCGCUGUCGAGGUGCUGCAUGGUUGUCGU
RNAcentral lists this ribosomal RNA (268 nucleotides) under uncultured bacterium. RNAcentral describes it as "partial 16S ribosomal RNA". It matches the Rfam family "Bacterial small subunit ribosomal RNA", at positions 793 to 1055 of the family's 1533-position model. The record is from RNAcentral.